Long non-coding RNA from Heterocephalus glaber (naked mole-rat), 1399 nucleotides. Lineage: Eukaryota; Metazoa; Chordata; Mammalia; Rodentia; Bathyergidae. The record is from Ensembl.
UCUCUCUCCACGUGAUGGUCCCACUCAUCCAGGGUCAGCUGCAGCCCUACCAGAAAGCCAGCAUCUUCCCAGCUGCCCUAAGGAACUGGUUUUCAGCCAGUGAGUGCUGAGCAGGGCCUGAAGCCAGAUCUGCCCUCCAGUGCUGGGCCAUUUACUCUCCUUGGGGACUUGCCCAGCCAUCUGAUUACCUCUCACGAUCAUACCUGCUGUUCUGGCCACCUGGUCUCGGGCUUCCUCUCCUCUAGGCCUCUCUGGCAUCCUGAGGCUCCUGCUGUGAGAGCUGAGUCUGUUCUAUAGCCGCGACAUGAGUGGAGAGUCUCCUGUACGACCUGCUGCGCUCCCCGUGGCUGCAGGCUCUGCUGAAGGUCUACGGCUGCCUCCAGGAAUUUAGAGAAAAGAAACCAGUUCCUACCACACUCUGUGCACAGCAGUUAUCCUGGGAGGUGGGUGAUUCUACUCCACACAGCAGUGGAGCUCCGAUGGACACCACAUUACCUGCAGUGCUUGCUGAAGUCACCUAUAACACUGUGGUGGAAGUUUGGCGAUUAUGCUUGUUAAGUUUUUAAGUUCAGCUUUAAUGUAAAGAAGAAAACUGUUUGGCUGUCUCCCUGGGUUAACACCCCCCACACUCUCACAUAGUUUUAGCGUGUGUCCAUUUCUCUCUUGUCCCCCGACCUUUAUACUCAGUUCACCCUGUGUAAACAGGAUAACAGCACAGAUAAUAGUGAUUCUGCAGUCUUUAUCUCUAGUCUGAAACUCUUCCCUGAGUUCCAGUCUCCACUGCCCAGCUGCCUCUGCCGUACCUUAGCGGGAUACUUCAAGGACCCUUCAGACUUUCCCUGCCCCAAGCUGGCCUGCCAGUGCCCCAAGCCUGCUCUUCUCACAGCCUUUCCCUGCAGCACUUGUUCCUCCUCCCUUUACUGUUUUAACCAAAAAGAAGAACUUAGGAGAGCCCCAACCCAAGUCAGGAAAGAGGGUCCUCAGGAAAGGGGCCCCACAACCAAGCUUUCUUGUUUCUCUGGUCACACCUAUACCCCGCUGCUGCAGCUUACCACUCCCCUCUAGCAGCCCUCCGUGGAUGACCCUGGCCACCAGGAUGUCCUGUCAUCUCGUGGCGCUUGAUGGUAGCUCCCUGGAGAGAGAACACAAUGGGGUCCCGGACAGAACACUCAUGUCCACCACCUGGGAGGGACCUCCCCGCUCCCUGUGCUUCUCAGCCACACCUCAGAGAGGAGAGGCCCUUUGACCUAGGCCUCUUGAGCUUCUGGUGACCUCACAGAAACAUGUAUUCACACGCUCCCAAAGGCAAAGAGGCCUCCCAAAUUACAUCCCAGCUUGUAGGACCACUCUAGAAAACCAAACUGAUGCCUUACUUAGCUUCCCAUCAAUAAAAGAGAAA